This is a non-coding RNA of Myotis lucifugus (little brown bat), 74 nucleotides long. The record is from Rfam. Lineage: Eukaryota; Metazoa; Chordata; Mammalia; Chiroptera; Vespertilionidae.
GGCGGUUCUCGGGUGACGCACCCCAGAAUCGGUCUCCCUCCUCACUGGUUCUGGUGCGUCACCCAAGAACUGCA